UGGGGAAUAUUGGACAAUGGAGGAAACUCUGAUCCAGCAAUUCUGUGUGUGUGAAGAAGGUUUUAGGACUGUAAAACACUUUUAGUAGGGAAGAAAAAAAUGACGGUACCUACAGAAGAAGCAACGGCUAAAUACGUGCCAGCAGCCGCGGUAAUACGUAUGGGGCGAGCGUUGUCCGGAAUUAUUGGGCGUAAAGGGUACGUAGGCGGUUUUUUAAGUCAGGUGUCAAAGCGUGGAGCUUAACUCCAUUAAGCACUUGAAACUGAAAGACUUGAGUGAAGGAGAGGAAAGUGGAAUUCCUAGUGUAGCGGUGAAAUGCGUAGAUAUUAGGAGGAAUACCGGUGGCGAAGGCGACUUUCUGGACUUUUACUGACGCUCAGGUACGAAAGCGUGGGGAGCAAACAGG
This 406-nucleotide ribosomal RNA is filed under the name Verrucomicrobiota bacterium. RNAcentral's name for it is "Verrucomicrobia bacterium partial 16S ribosomal RNA". It matches the Rfam family "Bacterial small subunit ribosomal RNA", at positions 355 to 776 of the family's 1533-position model. Lineage: Bacteria; Pseudomonadati; Verrucomicrobiota. The record is from RNAcentral.